This 21-nucleotide microRNA is filed under the name Physcomitrium patens. RNAcentral's name for it is "ppt-miR419". Its record names the gene ppt-miR419. The record is from miRBase by way of RNAcentral. Lineage: Eukaryota; Viridiplantae; Streptophyta; Bryopsida; Funariales; Funariaceae.
UGAUGAAUGAUGACGAUGUAU